RNAcentral lists this ribosomal RNA (459 nucleotides) under uncultured bacterium. RNAcentral's name for it is "bacterial SSU rRNA". It matches the Rfam family "Bacterial small subunit ribosomal RNA", at positions 335 to 788 of the family's 1533-position model. The record is from RNAcentral.
ACUCCUACGGGAGGCAGCAGUAGGGAAUCUUCCACAAUGGACGAAAGUCUGAUGGAGCAACGCCGCGUGAACGAUGAAGGCUUCGGUCGUAAAGUUCUGUUGUAAGGGAAGAACAAGUGCCGCAGGCAAUGGCGGCACCUUGACGGUACCUUGCGAGAAAGCCACGGCUAACUACGUGCCAGCAGCCGCGGUAAUACGUAGGUGGCAAGCGUUGUCCGGAAUUAUUGGGCGUAAAGCGCGCGCAGGCGGCCUCUUAAGUCUGAUGUGAAAGCCCCGGCUCAACCGGGGGAGGGCCAUUGGAAACUGGGAGGCUUGAGUAUAGGAGAGAAGAGUGGAAUUCCACGUGUAGCGGUGAAAUGCGUAGAGAUGUGGAGGAACACCAGUGGCGAAGGCGACUCUUUGGCCUAUAACUGACGCUGAGGCGCGAAAGCGUGGGGAGCAAACAGGAUUAGAUACCCU